Molecule: non-coding RNA, 76 nt
Organism: Podarcis lilfordi (Lilford's wall lizard)
Lineage: Eukaryota; Metazoa; Chordata; Lepidosauria; Squamata; Lacertidae
Source: the annotation of a GenBank genome assembly
GCCCUGAGGGAUAGCUUGGCUGGUAGAGCCUGAGACUCUCAAUCUCAGGGCCAUGGGUUCAAGCCCACGUUGGGUG